Molecule: ribosomal RNA, 253 nt
Filed under: uncultured bacterium
Lineage: Bacteria
Description: partial 16S ribosomal RNA
Rfam family: Bacterial small subunit ribosomal RNA
Source: RNAcentral
UACGAAGGGGGCUAGCGUUGCUCGGAAUCACUGGGCGUAAAGCGCACGUAGGCGGAUUGCUAAGUCAGGGGUGAAAUCCUGGAGCUCAACUCCAGAACUGCCUUUGAUACUGGCAACCUUGAGUCCGGGAGAGGUGAGUGGAACUGUGAGUGUAGAGGUGAAAUUCGUAGAUAUUCGCAAGAACACCAGUGGCGAAGGCGGCUCACUGGCCCGGUACUGACGCUGAGGUGCGAAAGCGUGGGGAGCAAACAGG